Molecule: ribosomal RNA, 620 nt
Filed under: uncultured bacterium
Lineage: Bacteria
Description: bacterial SSU rRNA
Rfam family: Bacterial small subunit ribosomal RNA
Source: RNAcentral
UGCCGCGUGUGUGAAGAAGGCCUUCGGGUUGUAAAGCACUUUCAGACGUGAGGAAAAGCUAAGUAUUAAUACUAUUUAGCCCUGACGUUAACGUCAGAAGAAGCACCGGCUAACUCCGUGCCAGCAGCCGCGGUAAUACGGAGGGUGCAAGCGUUAAUCGGAAUUACUGGGCGUAAAGCGCGCGUAGGCGGUUAUUUAAGUCAGAUGUGAAAUCCCUGGGCUCAACCUAGGAACUGCAUUUGAUACUGGAUAGCUAGAGUAUGGUAGAGGUGAGUGGAAUUUCAGGUGUAGCGGUGAAAUGCGUAGAGAUCUGAAGGAACAUCAGUGGCGAAGGCGACUCACUGGGCCAUUACUGACGCUGAGGUGCGAAAGCGUGGGUAGCAAACAGGAUUAGAUACCCUGGUAGUCCACGCCCUAAACGAUGUCAACUAGGUGUAUGGAACUUUAUGUUCUGUGUAUCGAAGCUAACGCGAUAAGUUGACCGCCUGGGGAGUACGGCCGCAAGGCUAAAACUCAAAUGAAUUGACGGGGGCCCGCACAAGCGGUGGAGCAUGUGGUUUAAUUCGAUGCAACGCGAAGAACCUUACCUGGUCUUGACAUGUAGCGAACUUUCCAGAGAU